Molecule: transfer RNA, 86 nt
Filed under: Anabaena sp.
Lineage: Bacteria; Bacillati; Cyanobacteriota; Cyanophyceae; Nostocales; Nostocaceae
Description: tRNA-Tyr
Rfam family: tRNA
About the family: Transfer RNA (tRNA) molecules are approximately 80 nucleotides in length.
Source: RNAcentral
GGGUCGGUGUCCGAGUGGUUAAUGAAGACGGACUGUAAAUCCGUUGGUUUACGCCUACGCUGGUUCAAAUCCAGCCCGGCCCACCU